CGGUAGCAGGAAGUGCUUGCACUUUGCUGACGAGUGGCGGACGGGUGAGUAAUACUUAGGAACAUGCCUUUGUGUGGGGGAUAACCAUUGGAAACGAUGGCUAAUACCGCAUAAUGUCUUUGGACCAAAGAGGGCUUUCGGGCUCUCGCGCAAAGAGUGGCCUAAGUGAGAUUAGCUUGUUGGUGAGGUAAAGGCUCACCAAGGCGACGAUCUCUAGCUGUUCUGAGAGGAUGAUCAGCCACACUGGGACUGAGACACGGCCCAGACUCCUACGGGAGGCAGCAGUGGGGAAUCUUGGACAAUGGGCGCAAGCCUGAUCCAGCCAUGCCGCGUGUGUGAUGAAGGCCCUAGGGUUGUAAAACACUUUCAGUGGGGAAGAUAAUGACGGUACCCACAGAAGAAGCUCCGGCUAACUCCGUGCCAGCAGCCGCGGUAAUACGGAGGGAGCUAGCGUUGUUCGGAAUUACUGGGCGUAAAGCGCACGUAGGCGGAUUUGUUAGUCAGAGGUGAAAUCCCGGGGCUCAACCUCGGAACUGCCUUUGAUACUGCAAGUCUAGAGACCGAGAGAGGUGAGUGGAAUUUCCAGUGUAGAGGUGAAAUUCGUAGAUAUUGGAAAGA
Molecule: ribosomal RNA, 618 nt
Filed under: uncultured bacterium
Lineage: Bacteria
Description: bacterial SSU rRNA
Rfam family: Bacterial small subunit ribosomal RNA
Source: RNAcentral